AAUCGCAACCCAAAAUUUUAUAAAGUUUGUUUGCGUUAAAGCUCGUAGUUGAACCUUGGGCCUGGCUGGCCGGUCCGCCUCACCGCGAGUACUGGUCCGGCUGGGCCUUUCCUUCUGGGGACCUCAUGGCCUUCACUGGCUGUGGGGGGAACCAGGACUUUUACUGUGAAAAAAUUAGAGUGUUCAAAGCAGGCCUUUGCUCGAAUACAUUAGCAUGGAAUAAUAGAAUAGGACGUGCGGUUCUAUUUUGUUGGUUUCUAGGACCGCCGUAAUGAUUAAUAGGGAUAGUCGGGGGCGUCAGUAUUCAGCUGUCAGAGGUGAAAUUCUUGGAUUUGCUGAAGACUAACUACUGCGAAAGCAUUCGCCAAGGAUGUUUUCAUUAAUCAGGGAACGAAAGUUAGGGGAUCGAAGACGAUCAGAUACCGUCCUAGUCUUAACCAUAAACUAUGCCCGACUAGGGAUCGGACGGGAUUCUAUGAUGACCCGUCCGGCACCUUACGAGAAAUCAAAGUUUUUGGGUUCUGGGGGGAGUAUGGUCCGCCAGGCUGAAACUUAAAGAAAUUGACGGAAGGGCACCACAAGGCCUGGAGCCUGCCUGCUUAAUUUGACUCACACGGGGAAACUCCCCCGGGUCCAGACAAAAUAAGGAUUGACAGAAUUGAGAAGCUCCUUUUCUUUGAACCCUUUUGGAUGGGUGGGUGCCAUGGGCCCGUUCUUCGUUGGGGGGAG
This 729-nucleotide ribosomal RNA is filed under the name Penicillium sp. G04 FGO-2014. Its description in RNAcentral is "SSU rRNA". It matches the Rfam family "Eukaryotic small subunit ribosomal RNA", at positions 581 to 1307 of the family's 1831-position model. The record is from RNAcentral. Lineage: Eukaryota; Fungi; Ascomycota; Eurotiomycetes; Eurotiales; Aspergillaceae.